Molecule: long non-coding RNA, 472 nt
Filed under: Nicotiana benthamiana
Lineage: Eukaryota; Viridiplantae; Streptophyta; Magnoliopsida; Solanales; Solanaceae
Description: long non-coding RNA (NBEN_LNC011809)
Source: RNAcentral
AUGUGCAUGUCACUUUCACUUUAUAUCCAUUAGGAAGAGUGACAAGAUAUGGUACAAUUAAAGGUGUGAGAUUGAAGAGUAAAUCUUUAUUAAAGGUCAUAUGGUUAGAUGCCCCUGAGUCUAUUAUCCAGGUGGCAGAAUUAAUGUGAGUAACAUGCAAAAUUUGGAAUCAGAAACAGGGCUCUCAGUUAGCAUAAUACCAGCAAAAUUGGCAGCAUACAUGGGAGGAUGAGACUGGGUAGUGGAGUACCCUAACUGAGUUUGUUGCAGCAGGGUCAUCAAUUAUUCAUAAUGUUGUCUGCUCAACCCAGGUAUCACAUAACUCUGGCCAUCAAUGUGUGGAACAGGUUGAUGACUUUCAGGAGGAUUUCCAUGAGGAAUAGACAUAUUUCUUUCAGAAGAAGGGAAAUCCACACCAGCAGUUAUAUGAGCAGCAGCAGGUCUCCUUCCCUUGUUAAAUGUUGUACUUUGU